GUACAGAAUUUACAAGUUUGGAUCUCUUUCGAUCUCCAAGGGGUGAUUCAACCUCAAGUGAAGCCCCUGCAGCAAACUGUCUCUGCAGUUGACAGAUGCCAAAACGUCCACACUGACACGUCGCCGAGCUGUCAGAGCAUAACGCAAUGUUUACAACUGAAAAAUCAGCUCGGUCAACGGAAUCAAGUGCGCGAUCGUUUUACGUCGUUUUCGGUGUGUUUUUGACGAUGUUUCGUCCGAUAUGUUCAGGUAAGUCGUUUAAGUUUUUGGACUAGUCCUACGAAGAGCUUCUUCGUUAAGUUUUUAUUUACUUUUCAGCUCACAGUGAGCCUGAAAAGUGGUGGUGUUUUGCUGCUAGGUUCUGAAUCUUCCCGAGGAAGAUCAGCCUGCACAAACCCACAAAUUAUCCCGGGAUGAACCAUGGUUGGCCAUCUUGACACAGCAAGAUGAGCACCAGGUAAGUGUACACAUUAAAAUUUGCAAAUUAAAAAUCAAUUAUUGAUUGACGAUCGUAAAAUUUUAGGCUUGCCACUUCUGGCCGGUAUUUUGGUUGGUAGCGUCCCCUCACUGCCGCUCCACAGUCGCCGCUCGGACGCAAGGGCACUACGGAUAACCCCUUGGUCGUCUCGUCGGACUGCCAGCGUAGCUAUGGACCUCCAACAUGAGCAUAAAGGUGUUUAGUAACGACUAACCUCCUCCGCAGAUGCUCAUCGGGUCUUCGGGUCGAACCGACAGCGAGUUCCGAGGGAAACCAAUGUUUAACCCCUCACCAACUGCUGCGGUUAACCGACCCUCGGUCGACUUACAUCGUUAGAGUUAGUCAGUGUUACUAAACUCUGUAUUGAUUAUGAAUAAAGAUUCAUUUUAUUAUCA
Long non-coding RNA from Culex quinquefasciatus (southern house mosquito), 873 nucleotides. RefSeq lists it as uncharacterized. The transcript is spliced from 2 exons. NCBI's taxonomy places the organism in Eukaryota, Metazoa, Arthropoda, Insecta, Diptera, Culicidae. The record is from RefSeq and is a predicted model, not a curated record.